AACGAACGGUGGCGGCGUGGAUAAGACAUGCAAGUCGAACGGGAUAUUUUGGGUAGCAAUACUCAAAAUGUUCAGUGGCGCAAGGGUGCGUAACACGUGGGCAAUCUGCCCAGGGGCGCGGGAUAGCUCGGCGAAAGUCGAAUUAAUACCGCAUGUGGCUACUGAGGGAUUCCUCGGGAUGCUAAAGAUGGCGCAAGCUGUCACUCCUGGAUGAGCCCGCGGCCUAUCAGCUAGUUGGCGGGGGAAAAGCCCACCAAGGCUAUGACGGGUAGCUGGUCUGAGAGGACGACCAGCCACACUGGAACUGAGACACGGUCCAGACACCUACGGGUGGCAGCAGUCGAGAAUUUUUCUCAAUGGGGGAAACCCUGAAGGAGCGACGCCGCGUGGAGGAUGAAGGUCUUCGGAUUGUAAACUCCUGUCAUUUGGGAACAACUAUGCGGUUUAACUGACUGCAAAACGAUAGUACCAGAAGAGGAAGGGACGGCUAACUCUGUGCCAGCAGCCGCCGUAAAAC
Molecule: ribosomal RNA, 517 nt
Filed under: uncultured bacterium
Lineage: Bacteria
Description: bacterial SSU rRNA
Rfam family: Bacterial small subunit ribosomal RNA
Source: RNAcentral